RNAcentral lists this ribosomal RNA (501 nucleotides) under uncultured bacterium. RNAcentral's name for it is "partial 16S ribosomal RNA". It matches the Rfam family "Bacterial small subunit ribosomal RNA", at positions 30 to 523 of the family's 1533-position model. The record is from RNAcentral.
AUUGAACGCUGGCGGCAGGCUUAACACAUGCAAGUCGAGCGGGGGAAGGUAGCUUGCUACUGGACCUAGCGGCGGACGGGUGAGUAAUGCUUAGGAAUCUGCCUAUUAGUGGGGGACAACAUCUCGAAAGGGAUGCUAAUACCGCAUACGUCCUACGGGAGAAAGCAGGGGAUCCUCGGACCUUGCGCUAAUAGAUGAGCCUAAGUCGGAUUAGCUAGUUGGUGGGGUAAAGGCCUACCAAGGCGACGAUCUGUAGCGGGUCUGAGAGGAUGAACCGCCACACUGGGACUGAGACACGGCCCAGACUCCUACGGGAGGCAGCAGUGGGGAAUAUUGGACAAUGGGGGGAACCCUGAUCCAGCCAUGCCGCGUGUGUGAAGAAGGCCUUAUGGUUGUAAAGCACUUUAAGCGAGGAGGAGGCUACUUUAGUUAAUACCUAGAGAUAGUGGACGUUACUCGCAGAAUAAGCACCGGCUAACUCUGUGCCAGCAGCCGCGGUAA